UACAUAGGGUGCAAGCGUUGUCCGGAUUUAUUGGGCGUAAAGAGCUCGUAGGCGGCACGGUAAGUCAGAAGUUAAAACGCAGAGCUCAACUCUGCGUCGCUUUUGAUACUGCCGAGCUUGAGUAUGGCAGGGGAGAUUGGAAUUCCACGUGUAGCGGUGAAAUGCGCAGAUAUGUGGAGGAACACCAGUGGCGAAGGCGAAUCUCUGGGCCAUUACUGACGCUGAGGAGCGAAAGCGUGGGGAGCGAACGGG
Molecule: ribosomal RNA, 252 nt
Filed under: uncultured bacterium
Lineage: Bacteria
Description: partial 16S ribosomal RNA
Rfam family: Bacterial small subunit ribosomal RNA
Source: RNAcentral